RNAcentral lists this ribosomal RNA (232 nucleotides) under uncultured bacterium. RNAcentral describes it as "partial 16S ribosomal RNA". It matches the Rfam family "Bacterial small subunit ribosomal RNA", at positions 1268 to 1500 of the family's 1533-position model. The record is from RNAcentral.
CAAAUCCCUAAAAACGGUCUCAGUUCGGAUUGAAGGCUGAAAUUCGCCUUCAUGAAGCUGGAAUUGCUAGUAAUGGCAGGUCAGCAUACUGCCGUGAAUACGUUCCCGGGCCUUGUACACACCGCCCGUCACACCAUGGGAGUCGGUAACACCCGAAGUCGGUAGCCUAACCGUAAGGAGGGCGCCGCCGAAGGUGGGAUUGAUGACUGGGGUGAAGUCGUAACAAGGUACC